Molecule: long non-coding RNA, 309 nt
Organism: Microplitis demolitor
Lineage: Eukaryota; Metazoa; Arthropoda; Insecta; Hymenoptera; Braconidae
Exons: 2
Source: RefSeq, a predicted model, not a curated record
CUCUAGACCAGAUAACAGAGUUUUCUUUAUCGCGUGAAGUAAAAAAAGUGAAGGCGUGAAACAAAAGAAAAUAGUUACGAAAUUUAAUAACGCACAUCAAACUUGAAACAGCCCGAAAUCGCGCCAGUGUAAAAUAUUUUUUUUUUUUCCUAUUUAUUGAAUUACCGUCAGCGUAUGUUUUGGUAACAAAACUUUUUAAUUGUAUCGAUUAUAAUUCAAUUUAUCAACUGAAAAUAAUUUUGAAUAUUUGAGAAAAUUCAAUUAUUGUAAUUUUUCAAUUCGCUGCAAAAUAAAUUUUUAAAAAAAGGA